AGACCUAAAAUAACCUAGACCCCUAGACAUCAUCAGCCGUUUUUUAAAAGGAAAAAGAACUAAAAAAUGAAAAAAGCUCUUCUUCUUCAUGAAGAUUGAACAAAAUGCAGAACCCUAGUCUUCUUCUUCAUGGCAACAACGGAAACCUGAAGAUCAGGCCUGAACCAAAAACGACCCAUCCCCACCAUCUUCUUCAGUGAGCAAAAACGCCUAAGUCUAGGAAUCAGACGCAAUAACACAAAAAAUCAGGUCCCCCACAUUGAUCUUCUUCUGCUCGAAUAUAAACAACCAUUUUAAACUUUCCUAUACAAAAAAGAAUAGCCAUAUUCGAUGAGUUGUUCCAUCGGUUUUUUUAUCAAAAAAAGCUUCUUCUUCUUGCUGGAAAACGCAGCAACAUAACCAUGAAAUACAAUCUAGAAAACCCAUCUAAACAAGUAGAGUUCGAGUCAGGAUAGUCGAGCCGAGCAACAAAACUCUGUCGAAAUCCGGUGGAGCUUCUCGUGGAGGUUCUGUUCGAGGUCUCUGAUCGAUGGCUCGAUUUUGGACUUUUGGUUCGAAAUUUUUCUUUUAGUUCAUUUCAUUGUCAAUCCCGUCAGUUUGAGGUUAAUUUCCUCCCCUUUCUUUUUUUGUGUUCUUACGUUUUUGUAUCUAGUCACACCAGUUGGUUUUGAUGGAUUUAAUGCAACUUUACAUCUUGGCCUUACAUGAUUAAUAUGUGAUUGGACCUAGUAUUUUCCUGAAGGAAGACAUAUAGUUAGUAAUUCUUAUUGUAGGAUUUGCUAAGUAAAAGAUGUUGGGGAAGCAGUGGUUUGGGGCUAGAAAAUGAAAUCUAAGUUUCAGAUUAUUAUUUUUCGUAAUAGGAUUUUCUUUAGUUGAGCUAUAGUUUAAAUUGAUAUUUUUAUCUCAAUGUUAGGAGCAUGUUAGGCCGACCAUACCUGGGUAGGCGAACCUUUAGGCAUGUAAUUAAAUCAUCACAACAACGGGUAUGCUUCCCAUGGCGUGGUUGUGAUACUUAAUUUCAAAUUAGUUGUAAAAAUGAAUAUCCGUAGUUCACUUAGUUGAAUGCCUUUACUUUAAUAAAAUCUAGGUGCGCCAUACGCAAACAAAAUCCAUAAUCUAUGUCCCUCAUAUUAAUUAUCUUAACUAGUGUAAAAAAUGCCUUGAACUUUCGGAGUUUGAUUUAGGCGCGUUAAUUAAAUAAUUGUCAUGGCUACGGGUACGACUCUCGUGACAUAGUUGUGAUGCUUAAUUUCUAAAAUCCUAGGGUACAUUUAUGUGACCCAACAACAAUUUAAUUUUGUUAAUAAAACAAACAUGUUGUAGAUCGUGGGUGCGGUUCCCGUGACAUGAUUCGCUAUGUAUAGUCAAAUAAUUAGUUGAUGUGACGACCUGUCCAGUCGUCUUAAGAAUUAACGCCCUGAUCCCCUAUUAACUACUUUCCCCAAGUUUAUUUAUGUUAUUUCUAUUUGUCGGGAUGUCCAGUUUUGAGUUUCGGAGAGUUUUGGGACACUUAGUCCCUAAAUGAGAGCUAAAGUGUUGGAAAGUUGAACGUAGUUGGAACAGUGUGAAGACGGCCUCGGAAUUGAAAUACAAUGGUUUUGUUAGCUCCGUUGGGUGAUUUCGGGGUUAGGAGCUUGUUUGAAGUGUGUCUUGGAGGUCCGUAGCUAAUUUAGGCUUGAAAUGCCGGAAGUUGAGUUUUUGAAGUUUGUGGUUCGAUAGUGAGAUUCUAAUUCAAGGAUCGGAAUGGAAUUACGAGAGUUGUAGUAGUUCCGUCAUGUCAUUUGGGAUAUGUAUACAAAAUUUCAGUUCAUUCGGACGAGGUUUGGUAGACUUUUUGAUCGAAAGUGUGUUUUACAGUUUUUGGAAAUUUUAAGCUUGAAUCCGAUGAAAAAUAAGUGUUUUGAUGUCGUUUUGAGCAUUUCGAAGGUUGGAACAAAUUUGGAUGUGGUUUUAGGAUUGGUUGGCAGGUUGGGUUGAGGUCCCGGGGGCCUCGGGUGUGUUUCGGAUGCUCAACGGGUCAUUUUUGAAACUUAGGAAAUUGCAGAAAAAAUUGCAACAGUCAGUUCUGGUUUCCUUCUUCGCGUUCACGAGUGGGUUCUCGUGUUCUCGAAGUGGAGCUUGGAUUAGGGGAAAAUUUGGCCUUCGCAUUCGCGAUAGGGCCUUCGCGUUCGCAAAGAACUGGAUGGUUGUGCUAUGCAUUCGCGAUUGGGCUUAGCGUUCGUUGAAGAGGAAUUGGCCCAAAGGAGUUUUGUGUAUCGCAUUCGCGUGAUGCCCGUCGCGUUUGCGAAGGUUCGUCUGUGCAAGGCAUCACGUUCGCGAAGUAAAGGACGCGUUCGCGAAUAAGGAAAAAUGGUCAAAGUUAUUUUGUGCUUCGCGAAUGCGAGGCUUUGACCGCGUUCGCGAAGAAGGAAUUUUCUGGGCAGAUAUAAGAUUUCAAAAUCGAUGGUUUGGCCAUAUUUAUCAAAACUUAAGCAUGGGAGCUCGGAUUUUGAGCGAAAUUUUGAGGGAUUUUCAGAGGUAUCGAUUGGGUAACGAUUCUUAUCUCAUUUUUGCUUGUAACCCAUUAAUCUAAACAUGAAUUCAUCCUUUAAUUUCGGAAUUUGUAUGAAAAUUGGGGAAAAAAGUUCUUAGGCCAAGAAAUUGAGUUUUGAUUGGGGAUUUGACAUCGGAUUUAAAUAAUUUUUGUAUGAUUAGACUCGUGAGAGUGUGAGUAUUAUGAAACUAUAAAUUUUAUCCAAUUCCGAGACGCUGGUCCGAGGGGCGUUUUGGUCCUUUUACAUAAUUUCGCAUAUUAGCUUAGAAUUUAAUUAUAGAAUCAGUUACUUGAAGUGUUAUUUACAUUAUUCAAUUGAAUUGAAUAGAUUUGGGCCAUUUGGAGUCGAGUACUCGUGGCAAAGAUGUGGUGUUGGGUUGAUUUUGAGCCGGUUCGAGGUAAAUGGCUUGUCUAACCUUGUGUGGGGGACCUUCCCCAUAGGAUUGGUAUAUUUGGUAAUUUAAAUGCCUUGUACGUGAGGUGACGAGUGAGUACUUGUGCUAAUUGUUGGAAACCCGAUUUUCUUUAAGUACUUACUAGUAUGUUUUCUUUCCUGUUUCUAUUACUUGCAUUAUUAAGCAUGUUGUUAGCUUAGGAAAGCAUGUCUAAGUGACUUAAUUGCUUCAUUUGAUUUAACCUGCCUUACUUGAAUUAUGUGCAGCAUGUUAGGCUAGAAUCACUUAUUGCCUUAAUAUGAAUUUUGCUAUUUAUGUUUAUCUUCCUACUGCUGCUGUGUAUUUAUUUUGGGACUACGGAUGUGGAAUUCCGGUAGCUCCACCUUGUCUAUUUACUUUGGGACUACGCGUUAGAUUCCCGGUAGAUCCCCCUGCACAUUUACUUUGGGACUAUGGGUUAGAUUCCCGGUAGAUCCCCCUGCAUAGUUAUAUAGAACUACGGGAAUGCACCCGGUAGAUUCCCCCAGUACUGGGUAUUUACAUUUGGGAUUACAGAUUGUGAUUCCGGUAGAUCCCCAUGCAUCGAUAGUUGGACUACGGGACAGGAUCCCGGGAGAUCCUUCGGACAUAUAUAUGAUGGACUACGGGACGGUAUCCCGGGAGAUCUACUGGACAGUUGUAAUUGGGACUACAGGACGGUAUCCUAGAAGGUGCCCCGAUUGUUAUCUCUGUAUCGAGCUGUAUUUUUUUCUGUGGCUUGUUUUGUCUCUGUUCUAUUUGUUGUUCUGUCAAUUCUAUGUUAUUUCUUACUGUUGCACUUAUUUAUACUGUUUUAUUCCACAUUGUUAACCCUUAUAUUGUAUUUAACCUCAGUAGGGCCAUGACCUUCCUCGUCACUACCCAACCAAGGUUAGGCUUGGUACUUACUAAGUACAAAUGUCGUGUACUCAUGCCUCUUCUGCGCAUGUUUUUCAUGUGCAGAUCCAGGUACUUCUACUCAGGCCUACCAUCCUUGAGGUAAGUGACUACUUAGAUACUUUGAG
This 3971-nucleotide long non-coding RNA is filed under the name Nicotiana tabacum (common tobacco). RNAcentral describes it as "long non-coding RNA (NTAB_LNC003469)". Lineage: Eukaryota; Viridiplantae; Streptophyta; Magnoliopsida; Solanales; Solanaceae. The record is from RNAcentral.